RNAcentral lists this ribosomal RNA (254 nucleotides) under uncultured bacterium. RNAcentral describes it as "partial 16S ribosomal RNA". It matches the Rfam family "Bacterial small subunit ribosomal RNA", at positions 524 to 776 of the family's 1533-position model. The record is from RNAcentral.
UACGUAGGGUCCAAGCGUUAUCCGGAAUCACUGGGCGUAAAGCGUGCGUAGGCGGUUGCUUGCGUGCUAUGCGAAAUCCUGUGGCUCAACCACAUGGACUGUAUGGCAUACGGGGCAACUAGAGGACGGCAGAGGCAAGUGGAAUUACUGGUGUAGCAGUGAAAUGCGUAGAUAUCAGUAGGAACACCAAUGGCGAAGGCAGCUUGCUGGGCCGUAUCUGACGCUAAGGCACGAAAGCGUGGGGAGCGAACAGG